UACAGCCAUAGCACCCUGAAUGCGCCCAAUCUCCCCUGAUCUGGGAAGCUAAGCCGAUCGGGCCUGGUUAGUACUUGGAUGGGAGAUGGCUAAAAAUGGUUGAAA
Molecule: ribosomal RNA, 105 nt
Filed under: Prolemur simus (greater bamboo lemur)
Lineage: Eukaryota; Metazoa; Chordata; Mammalia; Primates; Lemuridae
Source: RNAcentral